RNAcentral lists this ribosomal RNA (369 nucleotides) under uncultured eukaryote. RNAcentral's name for it is "SSU rRNA". It matches the Rfam family "Eukaryotic small subunit ribosomal RNA", at positions 587 to 972 of the family's 1831-position model. The record is from RNAcentral.
AGCUCCAAUAGCGUAUACUAAUGUUGUUGCAGUUAAAAAGCUCGUAGUCGGAUUUCAGUAGGCGCAGGAAGUUUCUCUUGUAACGAACUGUUCUUACUUCUUUGACAGAAACACUUAUGUUAUUCAUUUAUCGUGAGUUGCGACUGUCUCUUUUACUUUGAGAAAAUUAGAGUGUUCAAAGCAGGUAAUUGCCUGAAUAUUACUCUUGGAAUAAUGCUAUAAGACUUUGGUUCUAAUGUAUUGGUGAUUGGGACCAGAGUAAUGAUUGAUAGGGACGGUUGGGGUCUCACGUACUGCAAAGCGAGAGGUGAAAUUCUUGGACCUUUGUAUGACGAACAACUGCGAAAGCAUUUGACUAGGACGUUCCCG